CAGGAUGAACGCUAGCGACAGGCUUAACACAUGCAAGGUCGAGGGGCAGCAUAGAAGUAGCAAUACUUGGUGGCGACCGGCGCACGGGUGAGUAACGCGUAUGCAACCUACCUAUCAGAGGGGAAUAACCCGGCGAAAGUCGGGCUAAUACCGCAUAAAACAGGGGCACCGCAUGGUGAUAUUUGUUAAAGAAAUUCGCUGAUAGAUGGGCAUGCGUUCCAUUAGGUAGUUGGUGAGGUAACGGCUCACCAAGCCGACGAUGGAUAGGGGAACUGAGAGGUUGGUCCCCCACACUGGUACUGAGACACGGACCAGACUCCUACGGGAGGCAGCAGUGAGGAAUAUUGGUCAAUGGGCGGGAGCCUGAACCAGCCAAGUCCGCGUGAAGGAAGAAGGAUCUAUGGUUCGUAAACUUCUUUUGCAGGGGAAUAAAGUGCAGGACGUGUCCUGUUUUGUAUGUACCCUGAGAAUAAGGAUCGGCUAACUCCGUGCCAGCCGCCGC
Molecule: ribosomal RNA, 502 nt
Filed under: uncultured bacterium
Lineage: Bacteria
Description: bacterial SSU rRNA
Rfam family: Bacterial small subunit ribosomal RNA
Source: RNAcentral